UACAUGCAAGUCGAGCGGACCGGAUGAGGGCUUGCUCUGGUUUGGUCAGCGGCGGACGGGUGAGUAACACGUGGGCAACCUGCCCGCAAGACCGGGAUAACUCCGGGAAACCGGAGCUAAUACCGGAUAACACCGAAGACCGCAUGGUCUUCGGUUGAAAGGCGGCCUUUGGGCUGUCACUUGCGGAUGGGCCCGCGGCGCAUUAGCUAGUUGGUGAGGUAACGGCUCACCAAGGCGACGAUGCGUAGCCGGCCUGAGAGGGUGACCGGCCACACUGGGACUGAGACACGGCCCAGACUCCUACGGGAGGCAGCAGUAGGGAAUCUUCCGCAAUGGGCGAAAGCCUGACGGAGCGACGCCGCGUGAGCGAAGAAUGCCUUCGGGUCGUAAAGCUCUGUUGUGAGGGACGAAGGAGCGCCGUUGGAAGAAGGCGGCGCGGUGACGGUACCUCACGAGAAAGCCCCGGCUAACUACGUGCCAGCAGCCGCGGUAAUACGUAGGGGGCGAGCGUUGUCCGGAAUUAUUGGGCGUAAAGCGCGCGCAGGCGGUCUCUUAAGUCUGAUGUGAAAGCCCACGGCUCAACCGUGGAGGGUCAUUGGAAACUGGGGGACUUGAGGGCAGGAGAGGAGAGCGGAAUUCCACGUGUAGCGGUGAAAUGCGUAGAGAUGUGGAGGAACACCAGUGGCCAAGGCUGCUCUCUGGCCUGUACCUGACGCUGAGGCGCGAGAGCGUGGGGAGCAAACAGGAUUAGAUACCCUGCUACUCCACUCUGUACACGAUGAGUGCUAAGUGUUAGAGGGGGUCACACCCCUUUAGUGCUGCAGCUAACGCGAUUAGCACUGCCGCCUGGGGAGUACGGCGCGAGGCUGAAACUCAAGGUAUUGGACGGGCGCGCCGCACGAGCUGUGCAGCAUGAUGUUGAUACGAUGCACGCUAGACUUUACCAGGUGUGACAUCCAUGACACCCGAGGAGAUUGGCGAUUGCACGUAGGGGGCACGGGUCAGUGGAGCUCGUGUCUCACUCUGACGUGAGGAUCGAUGAAACGUCCUACGAGCAUGCUUAGUGCUGCCAGUGGAGUCCAAUGAUGCUGCAAGUCAGACAGUGGAGUGCUAUCAGCUGCUGACGGUCAAUGG
RNAcentral lists this ribosomal RNA (1134 nucleotides) under Geobacillus stearothermophilus. RNAcentral's name for it is "bacterial SSU rRNA". It matches the Rfam family "Bacterial small subunit ribosomal RNA", at positions 52 to 1270 of the family's 1533-position model. Lineage: Bacteria; Bacillati; Bacillota; Bacilli; Caryophanales; Anoxybacillaceae. The record is from RNAcentral.